This is a small nucleolar RNA of Cheilinus undulatus (humphead wrasse), 73 nucleotides long. RefSeq annotates it as small nucleolar RNA SNORD61. Lineage: Eukaryota; Metazoa; Chordata; Actinopteri; Labriformes; Labridae. The transcript has a single exon. The record is from RefSeq and is a predicted model, not a curated record.
GCAAUGAUGACCUGUUGUGGCUUUGAGCAGUCGUGAAAAUACACCGCCAAUUCCUCUAAGAAGUUCUGAGCUC